AUGGAUCGGAGGUGUUUGUUGGAGGAUCCAUGGUUUCGUCGCCGUUUUCACAUGCUGAAACCAUUGUUUUUGCGCAUUGUGAAGGGAGUAGAGGCACACGACUACUACUUCAAGCUCACAAGGGAUUGCUACGACCAACUCUCUUUCUCGGCCAAGCAGAAGUGCAUGGCUGCUCUGAGGAUGCUUGCACUUGGUACUGCUACAGAUACCGUUGGUGAGAUGACCAAGAGCACGUGCUUGAAGACUACUGUCAAGUUUGUCCGUGCCGUGGUGGAGGUGUUUGGACCUGAGUAUCUUAGAAAACCAAAUGCGCAUGACACAGAGAAGUUGUUGGCUAUUGGAGAGGCAAGGGGGUUUCUAGGAAUGCUCAGAUCAAUUGAUUGCAUGCAUUGGCAAUGGAAGAACUGCCCCAAAGGUUUGUGCGGACUGUAUCAAGGUCACACUAGAGGGGUCACCAUCAUACUAGAAGCGGUGGCAUCACAUGACUUAUGGAUUUGGCAUGCUUUUUUUGGAAUGUCGGGUUCUCACAACGACAUCAACGUGCUUCAACUAUCUCCGGUGUUCAGGAGGCUUUGCAAUGGGGAAUCACCCUAUGCAACUACACCCUCAACGACCGAGAGUACAACAUGGGUUAUUAUCUUGCUGAUGGUAUCUAUCCUCAGUGGGCGGCGUCUAUGA
Molecule: ribosomal RNA, 678 nt
Filed under: Triticum aestivum (bread wheat)
Lineage: Eukaryota; Viridiplantae; Streptophyta; Magnoliopsida; Poales; Poaceae
Description: partial small subunit ribosomal RNA
Source: RNAcentral